CCUACGGGAGGCAGCAGUGGGGAAUAUUGGGCAAUGGGCGCAAGCCUGACCCAGCAACGCCGCGUGAAGGAAGAAGGCCCUCGGGUUGUAAACUUCUUUUGUCAGGGACGAAGCAAGUGACGGUACCUGACGAAUAAGCCACGGCUAACUACGUGCCAGCAGCCGCGGUAAUACGUAGGUGGCAAGCGUUAUCCGGAUUUACUGGGUGUAAAGGGCGUGUAGGCGGGAUUGCAAGUCAGAUGUGAAAACCACGGGCUCAACCUGUGGCCUGCAUUUGAAACUGCAGUUCUUGAGUACUGGAGAGGCAGACGGAAUUCCUAGUGUAGCGGUGAAAUGCGUAGAUAUUAGGAGGAACACCAGUGGCGAAGGCGGUCUGCUGGACAGCAACUGACGCUGAGGCGCGAAAGCGUGGGGAGCAAACAGGAUUAGAUACCCCGGUA
Molecule: ribosomal RNA, 440 nt
Filed under: uncultured bacterium
Lineage: Bacteria
Description: bacterial SSU rRNA
Rfam family: Bacterial small subunit ribosomal RNA
Source: RNAcentral